This 236-nucleotide ribosomal RNA is filed under the name Proteus sp. (in: enterobacteria). Its description in RNAcentral is "Proteus sp. partial 16S ribosomal RNA". It matches the Rfam family "Bacterial small subunit ribosomal RNA", at positions 821 to 1056 of the family's 1533-position model. Lineage: Bacteria; Pseudomonadati; Pseudomonadota; Gammaproteobacteria; Enterobacterales; Morganellaceae. The record is from RNAcentral.
AGGUUGUGGUCUUGAACCGUGGCUUCUGGAGCUAACGCGUUAAAUCGACCGCCUGGGGAGUACGGCCGCAAGGUUAAAACUCAAAUGAAUUGACGGGGGCCCGCACAAGCGGUGGAGCAUGUGGUUUAAUUCGAUGCAACGCGAAGAACCUUACCUACUCUUGACAUCCAGCGAAUCCUUUAGAGAUAGAGGAGUGCCUUCGGGAGCGCUGAGACAGGUGCUGCAUGGCUGUCGUC